RNAcentral lists this unclassified non-coding RNA (1828 nucleotides) under Leishmania donovani. RNAcentral describes it as "gene:unknown". Lineage: Eukaryota; Euglenozoa; Kinetoplastea; Trypanosomatida; Trypanosomatidae. The record is from RNAcentral.
CACGAUGAUGAGCGGCAACGCAGAGGUGAACGCCAAGACGCGCACGUACACCAACAGGAGAAACGCCCAUGCGCACAUAAAGGGACUGACUCUCGCAUACUGGCUAGGCCGAGUGCCGGGAGGCAUCACCGGCAUCCGUCUGCGCGCGGUGCGCGGCACAGGCGGUGCGGCACGCGCCCGCAUGCCCUCAGGUCUCCUGCUGCUCUGAUUGCCUGCGCGCCUGGAGCGCUGGUGGCGGCGGCGCACAUUCGAUGGUGCCGUCCCCCCCCCCUCCCCUACCGGCCAGCGCCGUCACCGGGCCUACGGCACGGCGCGGUUGUCAAGCCGAUGGACAGUGCGACCUAGCCGCUGGUGACGGGCACUGGCGAAGGGGGAGCUCUGCGUGGCACCUGAGGGCAUUGUGGCGCGGGGGCCGCCGAGGAAGCUGCACCACAGCGCGAGGCUGCUGGAGCGCGUGAGCCGCGUUGCGCGCGCGCUUGUGGUGCGUUGCGUCCUCGCGACGGCCGGCGGGGGCCCUCGCCGUGAAGCGCAAGGACGAGGAGGAGGCGGUGGUGCGCAGUGUGCCUGCGCUGGUGGUGCCGUCGCAUCCCCGCAUCGUCGCCUUCAGCGGUGGCGCUGGCGUGUGCGGCCGUUGUCUGUGCCAUCUCGCCAUGGAGGGGUGCCCACUGCGUCGCUCAGCAUGGCGACCGCUGGGCUGCGGCGCCUCGACUUGUGCAUGACUGCCGUGUUCAGCCGCGAGCAGGCGUUCGCCCACACGCAGCACACCAUCGACGCUGCUAGCCUCCACCACUUGGUCGGCAUCUCACGGCAAUGACGUGGGCGAGCUGUUUGCCGCCGUGCAUCAAGGCCGCGUGUGGGCGGCAAGGUGUACGAAUGGGAAACUGUUGAAGGCAGCGCGGCAGCUGCAGGAGACGUGUGCCGGCCGCGCGCAGCUUCGUUCCGCUCCGCUGCGCAUUUCCCCGGUGCUGGUGGCGGUGGACGCGCGGGGAGAUGAGGAGGUGAUGGGGAAGGGCGGGUGGUGGAUCUGUGCGAGCGCGUGGGUGUCGGGGUGGAGGGGAGUGUGCACUGAUGGAGGGGCACCCUCACGUGCUGCGACCGGCACCCCCGCCCUCCUCGCCCCAUCGCGCGCACACCGGGGGGCGGGGUCGCUGCUGCUCACAUCCCCUGCUCUCUGGCGAUCCUCCUCAUUGUUGUGGUGCAGGGCUGCCGCGGUGCGGUGUCCGUGUGUUUUCCGUCGGUCUGCGCCCGGCGUGUCUCUCCCUGUGGUCCUGCAAUGAGCGGGAUGCGCGGUGACGGCGCGGCGCCGGUGGUGUCGGCGGAUUGUCGCGGCGGUGCCGCCUGUGAGGGCCGCGACGAUGGCGGUGUGUUUGUGUGCUGCUGUCUCCUCCCACGGUGCUGUGAUCGAUGUGUCUUCUGCUGUCGGGGCCUAGGGAGGGGGGGCGGCAGGCAGCGCCAUCUGCCCUCCCCGCUUGGUCGCCGUCUCUCGCGCCUCUGCCUCUCUCCCUCGCUGCCGUUGCGGCGCGCCGCACAUCCACCGGGCUCCCGUCCUGAUCCUUCUCGCUUGUGUGCAUGUCAUCAAGUGGCCCACCUGCUCCCGCUGCGCACGCCUCGCAGUCCCACUUGCCUGUCUCCUCACGACUGCCUCCCUCCCUCACCCCGAUCUCUCUCUCUCCUCGCCUCCUUUCACUCUUGCUCGCGUGGCGCAUCCGCCCACCCCCUCUCACAACGCACGCGCACAAACAAACGCCGACAACGUGCACGUGCACGUGCAACAACAACAAUAAUAUACGUAUAUAUACCUGUUUGUGUGUGUGUGUGUGCUGCCAAG